RNAcentral lists this long non-coding RNA (241 nucleotides) under Nicotiana benthamiana. RNAcentral describes it as "long non-coding RNA (NBEN_LNC012663)". Lineage: Eukaryota; Viridiplantae; Streptophyta; Magnoliopsida; Solanales; Solanaceae. The record is from RNAcentral.
AAAUUUCUAUAUAUAUAAUGUCGGGUUGGUUUGGUUUCGGUUUGACUUUCUUUAGUUAAAACCAAACCAAACCAAUUAUGGUCGGAUUUUUUUUCCAACACCAAACCAAGUCAAACCAAACCAUAGUCGGGUUCUUUUUCUCGGUUUGACUCGGAUUAUCGGGUUGAUGCGAAUUGUCGGUUUUCUUUGUACACCCCUAGUUAUAAGCCUUGCCUCGUUGACUUCUUCUCUUGUAUCAUCA